Molecule: ribosomal RNA, 425 nt
Filed under: uncultured bacterium
Lineage: Bacteria
Description: partial 16S ribosomal RNA
Rfam family: Bacterial small subunit ribosomal RNA
Source: RNAcentral
GUGGGGAAUAUUGGACAAUGGGCGCAAGCCUGAUCCAGCCAUGCCGCGUGAGUGAUGAAGGCCCUAGGGUUGUAAAGCUCUUUCAACGGUGAAGAUAAUGACGGUAACCGUAGAAGAAGCCCCGGCUAACUUCGUGCCAGCAGCCGCGGUAAUACGAAGGGGGCUAGCGUUGUUCGGAAUUACUGGGCGUAAAGCGCACGUAGGCGGAUCGAUCAGUUAGGGGUGAAAUCCCGGGGCUCAACCCCGGAACUGCCUCUAAUACUGUCGAUCUCGAGUUCGAGAGAGGUGAGUGGAAUUCCGAGUGUAGAGGUGAAAUUCGUAGAUAUUCGGAGGAACACCAGUGGCGAAGGCGGCUCACUGGCUCGAUACUGACGCUGAGGUGCGAAAGCGUGGGGAGCAAACAGGAUUAGAAACCCGUGUAGUCC